GCUGUCUCCCGCCCCGGCCUUGUAGAAUCGCCUCUUAGUCAAACCAGAGCUCUGCACGCCGUUGAACAUGCCAGGAGGGGGAGGAGCUCUGGCGGUGGACGCCGCCGGCGCGGCCUCCGGCUACAGCAGCGAGAUCACGUUCACGGUGGUGAUGAGCUGCCUCAUGGCGGCCUCCGGCGGGCUCAUUUCGGUUACGACAUCAGUAUUACAGGUGGGUUGACGCAGAUGCGGUCGUUCCUGGAGGCCUUCUUCCCUGAGAUCAUCGAGAAGAUGGACAACACGCAGCAGGACGCCUACUGCAUCUUCGACAGCCAGGUGCUCACCACCUUCGUCUCCUCGCUCUACCUCGCCGGCGUCUUCGCCUGCCUGGUCGCCGGCCACGUCACGAGGAAGGUGGGCAGGAGGAACUCCAUGCUCAUCGGCGCCUCGUUCUUCUUGGUCGGCGCCAUACUCAACUGCGCCGCCGUCAACAUCUACAUGCUCGUCAUCGGCCGCAUCUUCCUCGGCUUCGCCGUUGGCUUCACCAACCAGUCUGCACCCGUGUACUUGGCGGAGAUCGCGCCGGCGCGG
RNAcentral lists this ribosomal RNA (570 nucleotides) under Triticum aestivum (bread wheat). RNAcentral's name for it is "partial small subunit ribosomal RNA". The record is from RNAcentral. Lineage: Eukaryota; Viridiplantae; Streptophyta; Magnoliopsida; Poales; Poaceae.